Molecule: ribosomal RNA, 517 nt
Filed under: Heliobacterium sp. JHB61
Lineage: Bacteria; Bacillati; Bacillota; Clostridia; Eubacteriales; Heliobacteriaceae
Description: bacterial SSU rRNA
Rfam family: Bacterial small subunit ribosomal RNA
Source: RNAcentral
GCAUGUGGUUUAAUUUGACGCAACGCGAAGAACCUUACCAAGGCUUGACAUCCUUUGAAUCCUUUAGAGAUAGGGGAGUGCCCUUCGGGGAGCAGAGAGACAGGUGGUGCAUGGUUGUUGUCAGCUCGUGUCGUGAGAUGUUGGGUUAAGUCCCGCAACGAGCGCAACCCUUAUCCCUAGUUGCCAGCGAGAGAGUCGGGGACUUUAGGGAGACUGCCCGGGACGACCGGGAGGAAGGCGGGGAUGACGUCAAAUCAUCAUGCCCCUUAUGUUUUGGGCUACACACGUGCUACAAUGGGCGGUACAAACCGAAGCGAAGCCGAGAGGUGGAGCGAACCGGAGAAAGCCGUUCCCAGUUCGGAUUGCUUUUUGCAACUCGAGAGCAUGAAGGCGGAAUCGCUAGUAAUCGCGGGUCAGCAUACCGCGGUGAAUACGUUCCCGGGCCUUGUACACCCCGCCCGUCACACCCCGAAAGUCGGCAACCCCCGAAGUCGGUGAGGUAACCUGUAAGGAGCCA